AGAAAAAGAUGUGUGAAAAUGAUUCCAGUUUAACCUAAGGGUACAUGUCUUGAAGGCAAGAACAGUGCUACCUAUUCCUUUUCCUGUUUGGCUUCAGCCCUUUGGUUGGAAUGUCUUCCAUAGCUUUGCUCUUAUUGUUUUAAUCUUUGUUUUGUUCAUUUCAGUGAGUUUUGCAAAGAAUCUGCCCUCUGUGGGGCUAAGGGGUAUGCGGAGGGAUCAGUAUGGUCAUCUAUGAGGACAAAGUGUCAACCAGGCAAGUGUGUAGAGUAGUAUUUUAAAAUACUAAAAGAAGGAAAGGCGAAGUUACAUGAAUUGUUUGCAGUUGUCAGUUAAUUGACUUGGCAAGAUCAGUAUUGGUACAAUUUAACAUGAUGUUACUUUCACAGACUUUUACAGGUCUUUCCUGAACAUGAAACACUUGGGCUAGGUCUUCAUCCUCACCUGCACUGGAAUUGCCUAUUCAUUUUUUUAAAUUAGUGACACACAAAGAAGCAUUUACAUAUGUACUUGUGAUUGCUGGAAUCCUGAAAACUGCAGUUUGGCUUUUAAAUUCUGGUUUAAUUCAAAUAGUAUUGUUACUUGUAUUCGCUUAAAUAAAAAAUAGAAAGUCUUUCAUUUCAAACUUUUCUCAGCGACAACGAGGUAAGUAAAAAUAUUUGUGUUAGGGCAUCUGUGGAUUUAAAAAGUCUGUUGUGAACCAUUAUAUUUUAUUUUUCAAGUUCAAACAUGUCUCAGAAAUGAAACCUAGUGUCAUAAUGUUCAUGUUGAUUAGUUACCUACUUGAAAAAGUGUUUAAUAAGAUUUUUUUCCAGAUAAUUAUUAUUUACUCUUUGUUCACGCUGUAUACUUCACCUUGUGUAGUUUGUUAUAGAACCACAGGAUAGCAGUUCACAUCUAGUUGUUGCUUAUUUUGUUUUUCAACUGUAUUUGUUCCUACUACGGGUUCAUUUACAUAUAGAAGCCUCCUGUUUUUAAACAAAAAAAAAAAAAAGCACUUUAUCCUGUCUGGAGGCUCUCUGCUGAGAGUUACUUUCUGGCUGCUGGGGAACUUGAUGCCCUGAAUAUUACUCCUUCACUAGAAGUCAGUAGUUGUGGGGUAAAAAAAAUCCAUAAUCUUUAACAUUUCUCUUUCUCAAUUAUUUGUGUCUCAUUUUAGAAAUUAUGUACUUUUAUGCUGGAAACACUAUUUGGAUAUAUGCAGAUGAUUCUGAAAGUAGAUGUAGUCUGGAGGAUGUAUAUGUACAUUCAUAUACAGACACAGAUUAAAACAGUCCAACUGAUACUCCAUUAAAGCUUUUCAUCAAAUUCACUUCAUCCAAUUAUUGUCUGCCUAAGUUAUGUAUGGAAAUUUAUACUCGGUAGAUUCUUAAAUACUAUUGACUAAAUUGGAUUUCACAGGAAAUGUAUUUUUAAGGAAUUUUUUUUUGGGGGGGGGAUUUUUCAUUCCUUAAAAACAAUGCUGGCACACAG
This 1470-nucleotide long non-coding RNA is filed under the name Lynx pardinus (Iberian lynx). Lineage: Eukaryota; Metazoa; Chordata; Mammalia; Carnivora; Felidae. The record is from RNAcentral.